Molecule: ribosomal RNA, 497 nt
Filed under: uncultured bacterium
Lineage: Bacteria
Description: partial 16S ribosomal RNA
Rfam family: Bacterial small subunit ribosomal RNA
Source: RNAcentral
GAUGAACGCUGGCGGCGUGCCUAAUACAUGCAAGUCGAGCGAACAGACGAGGAGCUUGCUCCUUUGACGUUAGCGGCGGACGGGUGAGUAACACGUAGGUAACCUACCUAUAAGACUGGGAUAACUUCGGAAAACCGGAGCUAAUACCGGAUAAUAUUUCGAACCGCAUGGUUCGAUAGUGAAAGAUGGCUUUGCUAUCACUUAUAGAUGGACCUGCGCCGUAUUAGCUAGUUGGUAAGGUAACGGCUUACCAAGGCAACGAUACGUAGCCGACCUGAGAGGGUGAUCGGCCACACUGGAACUGAGACACGGUCCAGACUCCUACGGGAGGCAGCAGUAGGGAACCUUCCGCAAUGGGCGAAAGCCUGACGGAGCAACGCCGCGUGAGUGAUGAAGGUCUUCGGAUCGUAAAACUCUGUUAUUAGGGAAGAACAAACGUGUAAGUAACUGUGCACGUCUUGACGGUACCUAAUCAGAAAGCCACGGCUAACUACGUG